Molecule: long non-coding RNA, 81 nt
Organism: Octopus sinensis (East Asian common octopus)
Lineage: Eukaryota; Metazoa; Mollusca; Cephalopoda; Octopoda; Octopodidae
Exons: 3
Source: RefSeq, a predicted model, not a curated record
CAGGGGUUGAGAAAAUCUGAAGGAUCGCUGCAAUAAAUGUGUGAAUCUGAGAGGCGAAUAUGUCGAAUAAAAUCCAAAUAA